UCGUGUCUACACUCCACAAUUUAAUAAUGCUCAUACUGAUUACUGUUUUCGUUUUCGCAUUCGUAAUUUGUGCUUGACUUAAUUAACGUACAGGUAGUGCUUCCUUCACUCUAGCUAGAAGGGAUAAUGGCUCUGAUCGGUGAUCUUUUACCUGAAUUUAAACCAUCCACAUGGUCUACAGAAAACUAUGCAAGCAAAAAGUUUGUAAGAAUUCCCUUGGAUAUUGAAGCUGUUGAGUGUACAGCAAUUAAAAAUGAGUUUAUUCGACAUUACGGUGUUAAAUACAAAAUUGUAGCAAUUGAAAGGAUCCAAGCACCUUUUUUAUACAUGCGAUGUCAAUUACACAGAACUCAUUAUAAAAUGAAGAAUGGCCCAUACAUUGAUGUAUCCGAGAGUUGGGAAUUUGCUUUUGUACAGGAAUCUAAAGUUGAUGAAUUUAUCCAAUACAACGGCGAUGAAAGAAGAGUACCCAGCCUGUGUUAUUUGUAUCUGCCAUCAGCCAAUAUUCCUACAUGCGCUAUUGCGAAAAAAGUAUUGCAUCCAUGUUUACUUCGAGACUCAAAUAGUUACCCAGACUACAUUAUACACUUUGAAAAGACAAAGCCAGCAGAUGAAAUCGCCAAUUCCUUGUCUCGUCUAACAUUGAGAAUGUAAUUGAAACAGGGAUUAGGUAUAUGUGGAAUUAUUCGCGUAUUGUUAUAGUUGACCUGAUACCUUUAGUUUUUUGAUUGUAUUUCUAAAUCAAGAAUACUCAAAUCAUGACUUUGUUUUUCUACUGUUAGUUUGUAUCAUUUUAUAGUAUUUUAUUCAUAGAUAAUAAAUAUUUUUGCCUACUUA
Molecule: long non-coding RNA, 837 nt
Organism: Photinus pyralis (common eastern firefly)
Lineage: Eukaryota; Metazoa; Arthropoda; Insecta; Coleoptera; Lampyridae
Exons: 3
Source: RefSeq, a predicted model, not a curated record